Molecule: small nucleolar RNA, 92 nt
Organism: Lepus europaeus (European hare)
Lineage: Eukaryota; Metazoa; Chordata; Mammalia; Lagomorpha; Leporidae
Product: small nucleolar RNA SNORD116
Exons: 1
Source: RefSeq, a predicted model, not a curated record
GGAUCAAUGGUGACUCCUGCAAAUACCUCCCUUGGAAGCUGAACAAAAUGAGUGAAAACCCCAUACUGUCAUUCUCAUCAUGCCUGAGAUCC